Molecule: ribosomal RNA, 233 nt
Filed under: uncultured Actinomycetales bacterium
Lineage: Bacteria; Bacillati; Actinomycetota; Actinomycetes; Actinomycetales
Description: partial 16S ribosomal RNA
Rfam family: Bacterial small subunit ribosomal RNA
Source: RNAcentral
GGCGAACGGGUGAGUAACACGUGGGUGAUCUGCCCUGCACUUCGGGAUAAGCCUGGGAAACUGGGUCUAAUACCGGAUAGGACGAUGGUUUGGAUGCCAUUGUGGAAAGUUUUUCGGUGUGGGAUGAGCUCGCGGCCUAUCAGCUUGUUGGUGGGGUAAUGGCCUACCAAGGCGUCGACGGGUAGCCGGCCUGAGAGGGUGGACGGCCACAUUGGGACUGAGAUACGGCCCAG